Molecule: ribosomal RNA, 418 nt
Filed under: uncultured bacterium
Lineage: Bacteria
Description: bacterial SSU rRNA
Rfam family: Bacterial small subunit ribosomal RNA
Source: RNAcentral
UGGGGAAUAUUGGGCAAUGGGCGCAAGCCUGACCCAGCAACGCCGCGUGAAGGAAGAAGGCUUUCGGGUUGUAAACUUCUUUUCUGAGGGACGAAGCAAGUGACGGUACCUUAGGAAUAAGCCACGGCUAACUACGUGCCAGCAGCCGCGGUAAUACGUAGGUGGCAAGCGUUAUCCGGAUUUACUGGGUGUAAAGGGCGUGUAGGCGGGACUGCAAGUCAGAUGUGAAAACCACGGGCUCAACCUGUGGCCUGCAUUUGAAACUGUAGUUCUUGAGUACUGGAGAGGCAGACGGAAUUCCUAGUGUAGCGGUGAAAUGCGUAGAUAUUAGGAGGAACACCAGUGGCGAAGGCGGUCUGCUGGACAGCAACUGACGCUGAGGCGCGAAAGCGUGGGGAGCAAACAGGAUUAGAUACCC